RNAcentral lists this transfer RNA (71 nucleotides) under Trichiurus lepturus (Atlantic cutlassfish). RNAcentral describes it as "tRNA-Met". Lineage: Eukaryota; Metazoa; Chordata; Actinopteri; Scombriformes; Trichiuridae. The record is from RNAcentral.
AGUAAGAUAAGCUAAUAGUAAGCUCCUGGGCCCAUACCCCCGGCAUGUUGGUGCAAUUCCAUCUUUUACUG